AGAAGCAGAUUCGUUCAAAUAAUUCAAAAAACAGGUAUGUUAAGGUCCUCCCUUCUUUCUUUUGGCAUGGUCCAAAUUAUAUGGAAGAAACGAGCAAACGCACAGUUUCCAUAAAUUACUCAAUUCAUAGAAAUAUUAGGGGUAUCUAUAUUCUUGAUUCCCCAUGUGAAUUAUUAUUAUUACCUUCUGUUCAUGGGUUCCAGAAAAAUACGUAUUUGAUAAUGUUUAUCUGAAAGGCAUAUUAAUUUUUAUGGCGUUCCAAGAAAAUUUUAUUAACGCAUUUCUUAUGCAUUUCAUGCAUUUAUACAUGUAUAUUGACCCAUGACCAGAUGGCGUUAUAUACGCGCAUAUAUGCAUAUUAUAUUUAUAUGGGAUACGGGAAAAAGGUUACAGCAUUAUAUAUGCACCAUCACCGGAUCAACUGGUAUAUGAUGAUGAUGUUGUCCACAAUGGUUGAAAUAUGACUCAGACGACGUUAUAUACGCGUAUAUGUGUAUGUAUAUGUAUAUGGGAUAUAGGAAGAGGUUAUGGCAUACGCACCACCACAUGAUCAGCUAGUAUAUAUUGAUGAUGUGCCACAGUGGCCGAGAUGAUAUGAUGGGAUGCCCUCAGUGGCUUGAUGAUAUUAUAUACACCCAUACCUAUACAUGACACAAUAUUUAUACGCAUGUGCAUAACGUUAUAAACGUUUUAGAAUUUACAAAGUUAUUCAGAUUUAAAGAGAUGUUUCUAUAUUCCAUGAUUCAUCUAUGUCUGUUACGUACUAAUUUUCAUGCCUUACAUACUCAGUAUAUUUCUCAUAAUGACGCCCUAUUUCACGGGGCCUACUUUUCAUGCCCGCAGUAGCAGGUAAGCAAGCUGACGAUCCCCCUCCUUAGGAUCCCCGAUCAGCGAGAGUUGGUGUGCUCCACUUAAUCCGGAGCUGCUUUGGUUUUGAUACGAUACAUUUGUAUAUAUGUAUAUGUAUAUGAGUAUGACGUGGCUCAGUCCCGUCUUUGUACAACUAUGUAUCUAUUAGAUCUGUAGACAGUAUGUCUAGUUGGGUUGCAUGUGGCCUUGACAGCUUUUAGUUUUGGAUGUGUAGUUGUCUAUAGAAGCUUUGCUGGCUCGCCUACUGUAUCCUGCCGGUAUACGUACAUAUGCCUUGAAGGAAGGUUUCCUUCUUGUAUGUUAUUUUUGUAACUCAGCAGAUGUUAUUCAGGCUUGUAUCUUAGAUGCAUGCUUAGGGUUUAUUGAUAGGUGGGACUCAGGCACCCGUCGCGGCCCAUCAGUUUGGGUCGUGAUACGAUAGAUACAAUAUUCAACUUAUUUUUUUACACAGGAGUAUAGAGGGUGGUCCUAAGUUUUUUAGCUUAUAGGAUCAUUCCAUG
Molecule: long non-coding RNA, 1370 nt
Filed under: Nicotiana tabacum (common tobacco)
Lineage: Eukaryota; Viridiplantae; Streptophyta; Magnoliopsida; Solanales; Solanaceae
Description: long non-coding RNA (NTAB_LNC004773)
Source: RNAcentral